This 370-nucleotide unclassified non-coding RNA is filed under the name Hevea brasiliensis (rubber tree). Lineage: Eukaryota; Viridiplantae; Streptophyta; Magnoliopsida; Malpighiales; Euphorbiaceae. The record is from RNAcentral.
GGGGAAUGAAGUUCAUUAAUUGGUUGUGGUCACGGGAAGAGAAGGAGAUUGCUAUUGUUACCCACAGUGGAUUUUUGUUUCAUACCUUGAGCAAGUUUGGGAACGACUGCCACCCUUCAGUUAAAGAUGAAAUCAGUAAACAUUUUGCCAAUUGUGAGCUUCGGUCCAUGGUCCUGGUCGACAGAAGCAUGCUUGGGUCGAGCCCCUCUGCUACCAAUUAUCCUGGAAAGAUCCCGUCAGGCCUCGAUCUUCCGAGUGAUCUCGCAAAUGAGAAACACCCAGAUGGGAAAAGUGGUGGGAAGUAAGUCUUUUAUUGGCCAUUGAGACUUGGCUCAGUCGAUCGCUAUUUUUGUGGAGAUUGUACUGGAGC